RNAcentral lists this ribosomal RNA (465 nucleotides) under uncultured Klebsiella sp. Its description in RNAcentral is "bacterial SSU rRNA". It matches the Rfam family "Bacterial small subunit ribosomal RNA", at positions 338 to 795 of the family's 1533-position model. The record is from RNAcentral. Lineage: Bacteria; Pseudomonadati; Pseudomonadota; Gammaproteobacteria; Enterobacterales; Enterobacteriaceae.
CCUACGGGCGGCUGCAGUGGGGAAUAUUGCGCAAUGGGCGCAAGCCUGAUGCAGCCAUGCCGCGUGUGUGAAGAAGGCCUUCGGGUUGUAAAGCACUUUCAGCGGGGAGGAAGGCGGUGAGGUUAAUAACCUCAUCGAUUGACGUUACCCGCAGAAGAAGCACCGGCUAACUCCGUGCCAGCAGCCGCGGUAAUACGGAGGGUGCAAGCGUUAAUCGGAAUUACUGGGCGUAAAGCGCACGCAGGCGGUCUGUCAAGUCGGAUGUGAGAUCCCCGGGCUCAACCUGGGAACUGCAUUCGAAACUGGCAGGCUAGAGUCUUGUAGAGGGGGGUAGAAUUCCAGGUGUAGCGGUGAAAUGCGUAGAGAUCUGGAGGAAUACCGGUGGCGAAGGCGGCCCCCUGGACAAAGACUGACGCUCAGGUGCGAAAGCGUGGGGAGCAAACAGGAUUAGAUACCCGAGUAGUC